This 29-nucleotide non-coding RNA is filed under the name Homo sapiens (human). Lineage: Eukaryota; Metazoa; Chordata; Mammalia; Primates; Hominidae. The record is from RNAcentral.
UGUUGUAUGGAAGGGAUUCCUGCAUGGGC